GCUGGCGGCGUGCCUAAUACAUGCAAGUCGAACGAGUUCUCGUUGAUGAUCGGUGCUUGCACCGAGAUUCAACAUGGAACGAGUGGCGGACGGGUGAGUAACACGUGGGUAACCUGCCCUUAAGUGGGGGAUAACAUUUGGAAACAGAUGCUAAUACCGCAUAGAUCCAAGAACCGCAUGGUUCUUGGCUGAAAGAUGGCGUAAGCUAUCGCUUUUGGAUGGACCCGCGGCGUAUUAGCUAGUUGGUGAGGUAAUGGCUCACCAAGGCGAUGAUACGUAGCCGAACUGAGAGGUUGAUCGGCCACAUUGGGACUGAGACACGGCCCAAACUCCUACGGGAGGCAGCAGUAGGGAAUCUUCCACAAUGGACGCAAGUCUGAUGGAGCAACGCCGCGUGAGUGAAGAAGGCUUUCGGGUCGUAAAACUCUGUUGUUGGAGAAGAAUGGUCGGCAGAGUAACUGUUGUCGGCGUGACGGUAUCCAACCAGAAAGCCACGGCUAACUACGUGCCAGCAGCCGCGGUAAUACGUAGGUGGCAAGCGUUAUCCGGAUUUAUUGGGCGUAAAGCGAGCGCAGGCGGUUUUUUAAGUCUGAUGUGAAAGCCCUCGGCUUAACCGAGGAAGCGCAUCGGAAACUGGGAAACUUGAGUGCAGAAGAGGACAGUGGAACU
This 669-nucleotide ribosomal RNA is filed under the name Lacticaseibacillus paracasei. Its description in RNAcentral is "bacterial SSU rRNA". It matches the Rfam family "Bacterial small subunit ribosomal RNA", at positions 35 to 668 of the family's 1533-position model. Lineage: Bacteria; Bacillati; Bacillota; Bacilli; Lactobacillales; Lactobacillaceae. The record is from RNAcentral.